AGUGAACGCUGGCGGUAGGCCUAACACAUGCAAGUCGAACGGCAGCACAGUAAGAGCUUGCUCUUACGGGUGGCGAGUGGCGGACGGGUGAGGAAUACAUCGGAAUCUACUUUUUCGUGGGUGAUAACGUAGGGAAACUUACGCUAAUACCGCAUACGACCUACGGGUGAAAGCAGGGGAUCUUCGGACCUUGCGCGAUUGUAUGAGCCGAUGUCGGAUUAGCUAGUUGGCGGGGUAAAGGCCCACCAAGGCGACGAUCCGUAGCCGGUCUGAGAGGAUGAUGAGGCACACCGGAACUGAGACAAGGUACAGACUCCGACGGGAGGCAGCAGGAGGGAAUAUUGGGCAAGGGGCGAAAGCCUGAUGGAGAAACGCCGCGUGAGGGAAGAAGGGCUUCGGAUCGUAAAACUCUGUUAUUAGGGAAGAACAAAAGUAUAAGAAACUAUGGACGUCUUGACGGUACCGAAAGAGAAAGCCACGGCUAACUACGUG
This 492-nucleotide ribosomal RNA is filed under the name uncultured bacterium. RNAcentral's name for it is "partial 16S ribosomal RNA". It matches the Rfam family "Bacterial small subunit ribosomal RNA", at positions 29 to 507 of the family's 1533-position model. The record is from RNAcentral.